Molecule: ribosomal RNA, 465 nt
Filed under: Vreelandella stevensii
Lineage: Bacteria; Pseudomonadati; Pseudomonadota; Gammaproteobacteria; Oceanospirillales; Halomonadaceae
Description: partial 16S ribosomal RNA
Rfam family: Bacterial small subunit ribosomal RNA
Source: RNAcentral
CCUACGGGUGGCUGCAGUGGGGAAUAUUGGACAAUGGGCGAAAGCCUGAUCCAGCCAUGCAGCGUGUGUGAAGAAGGCCUUCGGGUUGUAAAGCACUUUCAGUGGGGAAGAAAGCCUUGGGGCUAAUACCCUCGAGGAAGGACAUCACCCACAGAAGAAGCACCGGCUAACUCCGUGCCAGCAGCCGCGGUAAUACGGAGGGUGCGAGCGUUAAUCGGAAUUACUGGGCGUAAAGCGCGCGUAGGCGGUCUGAUAAGCCGGUUGUGAAAGCCCCGGGCUCAACCUGGGAACGGCAUCCGGAACUGUCAGGCUAGAGUGCAGGAGAGGAAGGUAGAAUUCCCGGUGUAGCGGUGAAAUGCGUAGAGAUCGGGAGGAAUACCAGUGGCGAAGGCGGCCUUCUGGACUGACACUGACGCUGAGGUGCGAAAGCGUGGGUAGCAAACAGGAUUAGAUACCCUAGUAGUC